This 92-nucleotide ribosomal RNA is filed under the name Enterobacter cloacae. Lineage: Bacteria; Pseudomonadati; Pseudomonadota; Gammaproteobacteria; Enterobacterales; Enterobacteriaceae. The record is from RNAcentral. RNAcentral also lists the same sequence under 1 other name.
UAGCGCGGUGGUCCCACCUGACCCCAUGCCGAACUCAGAAGUGAAACGCCGUAGCGCCGAUGGUAGUGUGGGGUCUCCCCAUGUGAGAGUAG